GUUUUUGUAGUUGAAUAACAACGAUGGUUUUUCAGAUCAUAAGUUUUGGUUAUAAUAAGCCCAAACGAAAACA
RNAcentral lists this transfer RNA (73 nucleotides) under Gekko subpalmatus. Its description in RNAcentral is "tRNA-Glu". Lineage: Eukaryota; Metazoa; Chordata; Lepidosauria; Squamata; Gekkonidae. The record is from RNAcentral.